Molecule: ribosomal RNA, 497 nt
Filed under: uncultured bacterium
Lineage: Bacteria
Description: partial 16S ribosomal RNA
Rfam family: Bacterial small subunit ribosomal RNA
Source: RNAcentral
GACGAACGCUGGCGGCGUGCCUAAUACAUGCAAGUCGAACGAGAGCGACCGGUGCUUGCACUGGUCAAUCUAGUGGCGAACGGGUGAGUAACACGUGGGUAACCUGCCCAUCAGAGGGGGAUAACAUCCGGAAACGGAUGCUAAAACCGCAUAGGUCUUCGAGCCGCAUGGCUUGAAGAGGAAAAGAGGCGCAAGCUUCUGCUGAUGGAUGGACCCGCGGUGCAUUAGCUAGUUGGUGAGGUAACGGCUCACCAAGGCCGUGAUGCAUAGCCGACCUGAGAGGGUGAUCGGCCACAUUGGGACUGAGACACGGCCCAAACUCCUACGGGAGGCAGCAGUAGGGAAUCUUCCGCAAUGGACGCAAGUCUGACGGAGCAACGCCGCGUGAGUGAAGAAGGUUUUCGGAUCGUAAAACUCUGUUGUUAGAGAAGAACAAGUGCUAGAGUAACUGUUAGCGCCUUGACGGGAUCUAACCAGAAAGCCACGGCGAACUACGU